This 253-nucleotide unclassified non-coding RNA is filed under the name uncultured Lachnospiraceae bacterium. RNAcentral's name for it is "contains 16S-23S intergenic spacer region". It matches the Rfam family "Bacterial small subunit ribosomal RNA", at positions 524 to 776 of the family's 1533-position model. Lineage: Bacteria; Bacillati; Bacillota; Clostridia; Lachnospirales; Lachnospiraceae. The record is from RNAcentral.
UACGUAGGUGGCAAGCGUUGUCCGGAAUUAUUGGGUGUAAAGGGAGCGUAGACGGACUGUCAAGCCAGAUGUGAAAAUCCGGGGCUCAACCCCGGACCUGCAUUUGGAACUGAUGGACUGGAGUACCGGGUGGGCAGGCGGAAUUCCUGGUGUAGCGGUGAAAUGCGUAGAUAUCAGGAGGAACACCGGUGGCGAAGGCGGCCUGCUGGACGGAUACUGACGUUGAGGCUCGAAAGCGUGGGGAGCAAACAGG